GAUAUUUACUCAAACUCUCUAAGUGAAUCAUGAAAAUACAAUUCUAGUCAAUCUUAGGAUCUCAACAAAAUGGACCUGUCUACACAAUGCAGUUGGACCAUUCCACGAAUGUAGAAGAAAAUUUGGAAGCCAGGCAGGGGAAAACAACAUUCCGCCACUACUUUUCAAGAUUUUGCACACCAAUUUUUCUAGAGGAGGCUCAGUGACGUGUCUAUUUAGAGAUCGUCGUUGAAUUUUAUUGAGAAUAUGACAUCUUUAACCAACUUGUAAGACCAUAUGAUCUCAUCAUAUAUAGUAAUACUAAUCUGUUAGAUCUUUUAUUUUUUCUUUUUUCAUCCAUGCCUCAGAAACUUAAAACAAGAUACUCAUAUAUAUCUGAUUUGUGCUUUUCUCUACAGAUUCCUAAGAAACAAUAUGUUUUCUGGUACUAUUCCAUCCACCAUUGGAAAACACCUAUUAUUGAUGCAGAUGUGAGUUUUUCAAGUUAUGUUUGGUUGAAAUUACAAUUUCUCAUGUUUACUGAGUUCAUCCAUUUGCAGUCUAUGUGAUGGGAGUGGACCCCACUGCCUUUAAUGUUCCUGGAAAAGGGUCUUUAGUAAUAUCAUGAUUCCUGUUGGGUUUCUGGAAUAUGGGUUUUAAUGUUGAUAUGGUGGAGUACAAGAAUAUCGGCUUCACUGUUUAGGAUGUCGGGGGUCAGGAC
Molecule: long non-coding RNA, 700 nt
Organism: Magnolia sinica
Lineage: Eukaryota; Viridiplantae; Streptophyta; Magnoliopsida; Magnoliales; Magnoliaceae
Exons: 3
Source: RefSeq, a predicted model, not a curated record